This is a long non-coding RNA of Coffea eugenioides, 950 nucleotides long. RefSeq lists it as uncharacterized. The record is from RefSeq and is a predicted model, not a curated record. NCBI's taxonomy places the organism in Eukaryota, Viridiplantae, Streptophyta, Magnoliopsida, Gentianales, Rubiaceae. The transcript is spliced from 4 exons.
UUCUAGAGCACAUUCUACAUUUACGUUUCUCCUCAAUUAUUAGUCACACUUGAUCAUAUGCUUUUAAACUAAUCAUCUUUUCAAUGUAAAGCAAGAUGGUAUCAUGGCGCACGCAUUUUAGUUAGAGAUAUGUAAACUCAGAAAGUAUGAGUCAAAAUGGUGUGGAACUGAGUCAGGGACUCUCAAAUUAGCAAAAAACCAAACCCAUCUCAACUUCACAGAACAUCAGUUUAGAACCCUUAUAAUUUGUGAGAAGUUUAACUCCGUGUUGAUUGUAGUAAUAGAGAAAAUUGGGCUAUAAGCCGAUGAGUUAAAAUUAAGUUCAUAACUGAAAGGUGUGAACACCUUGAUUUGUGGUUCCAACAAGUUAUACAGCUUUUUUUUCAUUAGUAUAUGCAUGUAUAUAUAUACAUAUAUUUUUUCUUAUUAGGUGAAUGCGGUAUUUCAGUUUUAUGCUGUAUACUCAAAUGCUAUUGCAACAGAGACCCACAUAUACAUAUGCAUGUGUACAAUUGUCUAAAAGUGAUAGAUUGCAAAAUCACACUUAAACAGAAACAAUUAUUAUAUACUCUUUUAGAAGUUGUCAAGAGCCACGGGGAACUCAUUUCAGGAGUAAUUUGAAUGAAUAUUAUACAGCCAGAUAAAUCCUGGGCUGGAAUAUGCUUGCUAGGAUUGACAAGUCAGGAAUGCAGUUCAGAGCGUUUUAUGGCUUCCUACUCAGAAUGGUUCAACAAGAUCUUGUCUCAUAUGCAGGUUGGGUGGAUUUCCUAAUGCGAAGAAAGAUGGGAAUUCGCAAGCCUCUAAGCUUGUUCAACCAGUACUGAAGCUAUUAAAUGAGGAUAGCUCUGAUGCCUUCUGGGUAGGAAGAAGCUAUCUCCUUAUUGUGCACACUUACAAAUGUUUUUCCUGCUUCUGUCAGCCGACACUACGAUGGUGUUGAAUCCUCUAUA